GGUCUGUAACUGACGCUGAGGCUCGAAAGCGUGGGGAGCAANCAGGAUUAGAUACCCUGGUAGUCCACGCCGUAAACGAUGAGUGCUAGGUGUUAGGCCCUUUCCGGGGCUUAGUGCCGCAGCUAACGCAUUAAGCACUCCGCCUGGGGAGUACGACCGCAAGGUUGAAACUCAAAGGAAUUGACGGGGGCCCGCACAAGCGGUGGAGCAUGUGGUUUAAUUCGAAGCAACGCGAAGAACCUUACCAGGUCUUGACAUCCCUCUGACCGCUCUAGAGAUAGAGUUUUCCUUCGGGACAGAGGUGACAGGUGGUGCAUGGUUGUCGUCAGCUCGUGUCGUGAGAUGUUGGGCUAAGUCCCGCAACGAGCGCAACCCCUAUUGUUAGUUGCCAUCAUUGAGUUGGGCACUCUAGCGAGACUGCCGGUAAUAAACCGGAGGAAGGUGGGGAUGACGUCAAAUCAUCAUGCCCCUUAUGACCUGGGCUACACACGUGCUACAAUGGCUGGUACAACGAGUCGCAAGCCGGUGACGGCAAGCUAAUCUCUGAAAGCCAGUCUCAGUUCGGAUUGUAGGCUGCAACUCGCCUACAUGAAGUCGGAAUCGCUAGUAAUCGCGGAUCAGCACGCCGCGGUGAAUACGUUCCCGGGCCUUGUACACACCGCCCGUCACACCACGAGAGUUCGUAACACCCGAAGUCGGUG
RNAcentral lists this ribosomal RNA (701 nucleotides) under uncultured bacterium. RNAcentral describes it as "bacterial SSU rRNA". It matches the Rfam family "Bacterial small subunit ribosomal RNA", at positions 731 to 1432 of the family's 1533-position model. The record is from RNAcentral.